UCCCUGGUGGCUCAGAUGGUAAAGAAUCUGCCUGCUGUGCAGGAGACCCAGGUUUGAACUCUUGGUUGGGGAG
Transfer RNA from Ovis aries (sheep), 73 nucleotides. It matches the Rfam family "tRNA". From Rfam's summary of the family: Transfer RNA (tRNA) molecules are approximately 80 nucleotides in length. The record is from Rfam. Lineage: Eukaryota; Metazoa; Chordata; Mammalia; Artiodactyla; Bovidae.